AGGGUGGAAUCGAGUCAAGGAUGACUUGCCGAUAUAUAUUUGCGGAAGGACUUGCAUGGGCCUUUAGCUAUGUGUAACCGGCAAGUUGACUUGACUCAGUUUGGCCCUCU
MicroRNA precursor from Vitis vinifera (wine grape), 110 nucleotides. The record is from Rfam. Lineage: Eukaryota; Viridiplantae; Streptophyta; Magnoliopsida; Vitales; Vitaceae.